Molecule: ribosomal RNA, 254 nt
Filed under: uncultured bacterium
Lineage: Bacteria
Also listed under: 1 other name
Description: partial 16S ribosomal RNA
Rfam family: Bacterial small subunit ribosomal RNA
Source: RNAcentral
UACGGAGGGAGCGAGCGUUGUCCGAAGUUACUGGGCGUAAAGCGCGCGUAGGCGGGAAAUUAAGUGAGAAGUGAAAGGCUGGGGCUCAACCCCAUGCAGUGCUCCUCAUACUGGUUUUCUUGAGGGUGGUAGAGAGAAGUGGAAUGGCUGGUGUAGCGGUGAAAUGCGUAGAUAUCAGUCGGAACACCAGUGGCGAAGGCGGCUUCUUGGGCCAUUACUGACGCUGAGGCGCGAAAGCCAGGGGAGCGAACGGG